Molecule: long non-coding RNA, 831 nt
Organism: Papilio polytes (common Mormon)
Lineage: Eukaryota; Metazoa; Arthropoda; Insecta; Lepidoptera; Papilionidae
Exons: 2
Source: RefSeq, a predicted model, not a curated record
UGAAUUGUAUUAAUCGGCAUUCGAAUCUUGUAACUGUCGGAGUACACGCAACUCUCUAAGCAAAAAUCUUUUAUUAAAUUUUCUCCAAGUGAUCGACGAAAUAUUUACAUGGUCAGCUUCGAGCCAAAUUUGGAAGUGUCUUCAAUCAGCGGAGAAGAUAAUUUACGCCGAUAUCACAAAAUCUUGAAGAAGACAUUAGUUCGUACGGAGAUUAAGUUAAGGACGUCAUCAAGAACAAAGAACGGACGAACAAACUCGACACCACACAGUGUUUAAUGGAAGUUUAUUAAUUUUUGCCAAUUUCCGUUAUAUUUUAAAAUGACCGAGGAGAGGGAAUUAAUUAAGAAGCGUGCUAGCUAUAAAGGUCGUUUAACAGUUUUCAAUCUUCCAUAGAAUUAGUAUGAUUCAACAUACAAGAUAUCAUAUGAAUUAUAUGCUCUACAAAUGUCCUGUAUGUAAGAACACAUAUGCAACGUACCAAAGACUAUUGCUUCAUACAGAGGCGGUUCAUUUGGAGACGAGAAAUUAUAAAUGUGAUUUGUGUAAAUCCUCUUUUAUUUCAAAACGAGGCUAUGACAGACAUUUAGGAACAGAAAAGCAUAUCAAUUAUGCUUCCAUAGCAAAGUUAGGAUUUUUAAAUCCUAAGUGAGAUAUUUACUAAAGUUAUAUUUUUAUACUUAAAACGUUACUUUGGUUUAGUUUGAAUUAUUAUCAAAUUAUGUUUUAUAUUUUAUUGAUUUGAUGACUCCAUUGGAUUUAAAUGAGUUUGACUGAAAAUAAUUUUAGAAUUAUUACUUUACUUAUUUGAUAAAUAAAUGAUAUUUUACGUAA